GAGAGAGUGCGUAUGUGAGAGUGCGAGGGGACCUUCACACGGGGAGCACCGUGACUCCUCGCAGGACGCUUGCCACCUCUCCCCUUGCAUCUUGCCUGCAUGCUUACCAGGCAGCUCGCGCAGCUCUCGCUCUCUUAGCACAUUUGCUUCUCUGAACACUCUCUCUCUUUUGUGCAAGUGCACACACACGCACACACACACAGACACACGCGCGCAUGUGCACACACACACACGCACAGACAGACACAGACUCUCACACACAACCUGCCCGACUGGCUCCCUGCUUUGCUCUCUGCAGCCGGCAUCGCUGAGACGAGAGGGAAAUGGGAGAAAGAAGCAGAGCUGGAGGACGCUGCUACGAGAGUUGCAUUCGCCGCAAAGAUGUUUUUCUUAGUCGCUCCAACAGACAGGAAUCUACUGGCAAGAAGAAAGGCUCAGUCUUCCCCAGGAGAGAGGAGUACAAAGCCCCCAGUCUGCACACAGCAGAUGCAGAAAGCCAGUCCAUCUGCCACCAACUCAAAGUGUCACAUGGGCCUGAGAGAUUUAAUACAAGAGACAUUUUUUUAUGUGCCUACAUAAGUUUGUGCGAUAUACACAAAACCAAAUAAAAACACAUGUAAAUCUGGCUGAGAUGUAGCUCAAAAACUUCGAAAAGACGCACACACACAUGUCCUAGCACACGGGCAUCUGAUCAUGAAGAAGUGGAGGCACUAUAAGAACUUUUACGUUUUAGAGAAACGCACCAAGACCAACUAUGACAGAUUUAUUUAGGGGAAGAUGUACCCCCUAGCGCAGGGUAAACACCACUUGAACUCACAGCCCUGAGUGGUGCGCUGGCAUGAUUUAACAGGCUCUGAAUAGUACAUUAUCUCCCUGGCUCCGCUGAAGCAUAUUUCAGCCGUAUGAUAUCAUUAUUAAGAGACCAACACAGACCAAGGGAUGGAGCAUUUUCGUGUCAACUGUCUGAGCUCUGAGGCAGAGAGGGUAAACACCAAACAAUCAUGGGAGACGGAGUGAGACAGUGGGAGUUGAAGCGAGUGGGGGGAAAGACAGAAAGGGAGGUGACAAGAGGGCAAAUGCAAGCAAGAAUGAAAAAAAAAAAAGAAAAAGUGACAGUGAGUGGCAAUGAGGGCUAACAUGAAACAACAGCUGUUAACUGCUUUAAGCCUCCACAUUAUGCCGAUGAUUUAUUCCAUUCUCUUUCAGUACUGUGGAGAAUGCUCCUUUAGCCCCUUUAACAAACUACUCAGAGCUGCUCACUGGAAAAGACAAACAGGAGGCCCCUGGCGUUAGAAACAUUCACUUCACUAGGGGGAAUGCUAUGCCUAUUUCUACACAUCUGUGACAAUUGCGUGCCUCCUCCCUUCAGGUAUUUAUUCCCCAUGUCUCUUCUUCCAGCACUGCCAAGGUCAACAGAGACAAACAGGCCCACCAGCGUCUCGAUGUGGUGGCAGCAGAACAGUGAGAGGAGAGAAAGAGAGAAAGAGGGGGCUAGACAUGUGUAGUGGGUACAAUGGGGAGGGGUGACGGUGGCAGCAGCUGGUUACCAACCCUGGCAGGAGCCGCAGCAGUGGGGGGAGCCGUGAUCUGAGAUGCCGUGCUUCGCCGUGACAACGAUGGCAACGGUUAGAUGUUCUUUCCCAUCUCCUCACACUGCUAUCAUUUCCACAGCCACCCCAACACACACACACACACACAACUAACACACUAAUAUUAAUUUUCAAUUAAAACCAUGAAGUGGAUUGCCUCUGGGGCAUUAGACAAAGUCAAGCAACCAUCACAGUGGUUUCUCUCGUCAUUUCUGCCACAUUCCCUUCAGUGGUAGCAGGCCACCACAAAGUACAAGCACUGCCGCAAGGUUUGUCAGUCAGUGGCAACACAGUACAGAGAUGUGAAUCACUGCUUCUUAACCCUCUAACAAACAUUAGGAUAAAACUGCAUGCUCAAACAGCAGAAUUUUCUAAAUAAAACAGUGAACCACACAUGACUUCUUACACACGUGGAAUCAGCACAGGAGACAAAGAGAAGCGGAGGAAAAGAUUUUGCGGCUUUCCUGCAAUUCUAAGUGUUGUAUUUAUUGGAGCUCAAGUGCAUCAAUGCUGUUCACUGGGAAGUUAUCCAUUUGACUUCACUCCGCCUUCAUCCAUUCUCACAUUUAAGUGCCAGUCACAGAAAAAAAAAAAAAAAAAAAAAAAAGUAAUUUCACCAUCUGCUCAAAUAUGCUCAACUGCAACAACUCCCACACAGUGAUAACCAGUGUUUCUAAAGAGCAGAACACCACACGUGAAACAUAGCACACACAUCAGCACCAUUCAUUAGCUGUCACACAAGCACAAUUCACGAGCCACUUAGUGCUGCCCUCAAAUAAAUAAAUAAAUAAGUGAAAGAGCCAAAUAAGGCAUAAUGAGGGGGUAGGGCUCUUUUUAGUCCUGGGUAAUGCUGAUCACACGAUACGUUGCUUAUGGCCAGAGAGCAGAGACCAUUACGGACCGGUGAUUAUAUAAGUGGUUGGAAGGCAGCACCGUUUUAAUAUACUGUACUUAAGCGCCAGGGUAUCCAUGGCAACUUGCCUUGCACCGUGCAUUCAGAAAAUCCCUAAUGAAAUGCCUAUUAAGUGGCUGAUAAUGACAGUGUCCAAAUAUAUUUGCAUAUGUAUUUCACUGCCAUAAAAAAUGAAGAACAAAAAAAAAUAAUAAUAAAAAAUACACCAAGGGAACGUGAUUACUGCAAUCACAAUGAUGAAUAUGUUGACUUUGUUGUUAUUUGUUUUGUUGAAAAAAAAAAUAAAUAAAAAUUCUUGGAAUAUUUAUUGUAACAUUUUCUACUUUGAUCUACAAUAUUACUAAAAUGUUUAUGCGUGUUGGUUUUAAUAAAACUUAUACAAAUUAAAAGAAAGUUGUGACGGGUGUGAAUUGAGGCCUCAUUGCCUUCCUGUCGGAGUCUCCACAUGUGACUUCCAUUUGCGACUUUGGCUGAGAGCCCAACAGGACAUCCCUGAGAGAGUGUUUGCUUGACUCAAUAUCAACAGCGCGAGUAAGCAGCG
Echeneis naucrates (live sharksucker) is the source of this 3043-nucleotide long non-coding RNA. NCBI's taxonomy places the organism in Eukaryota, Metazoa, Chordata, Actinopteri, Carangiformes, Echeneidae. The record is from Ensembl.